UCUCUUUCUCUCUCUCCCUUUCUUUAUCGCUGUCUUUCUCUCUCUUUCAAGCAUUACUCAUUCUUCAUGCUCUUCUAUUCGCAUAUGCUUUCUCUGUAAGCUUUUUCUCGCUCUCCCCCUCAUUUCUCAUCGCCGGUUCGGUCAUCCUCAUCGGAAUCCCCCCUCGUUUCUCGUCGGAAAACCCGUAUUCUCACCACCGCCGAUCCGAAUCCGCUCCCCAAUUGACCUAUAUAUUAUAUAUUUAUAUCUAUAUAGAGAGAGAGAGAGAAAAAUCUUUUUUUUUUUUUGGGUUAUUAAGAAUUUGAUUGAUUGCUUUGAUUUUUGUAAUUUUAUCUAUGGAGGAUGGUAUGAGCAGCGAUGAGGACUAUUACUCCGAUCGGGACUCGCUUGAUGGCCUCGAGAACGAGGACUCUGAGUUCCACUGUACCCCUCCAAAGGGUCCCACUACGAAGGUAAUUACAAAAGAAUCUCUUUUGUCUGCUCAGAGGGAGGAUUUGCGGAGAGUAAUGGACUUGCUAUCCCUUAGAGAGCACCAUGCCCGGACUUUACUAAUUUAUUACCGCUGGGAUGUUGAAAGGUUGUUUGCGGUGCUUGUAGAAAAAGGGAAAGCUUUCUUAUUUGAUCAAGCAGGUGUUACGGUGGUGGAGCAUGAAGGUCUUGAGUCACCGCUUGGUUCUACAAUAACGUGUGAUAUCUGCAUGGACGAUGUACCUAGUGUUGAGGCAACAAGAGAGGACUGUGGCCAUUGCUUUUGUAACAACUGUUGGACAGAGCAUUUUAUGGUGAAGAUAAAUGAGGGUCAAAGUAGGCGCAUUAGGUGCAUGGCACACAAAUGCAAUGCUAUUUGUGAUGAAGCUGUUGUUAGAAAUCUAGUCAGUAAAAGGCAUCCUGAUAUGGCAGAAAAAUUUGAGCGUUUUCUCCUUGAAUCAUACAUAGAGGAUAACAAGAGGGUUAAAUGGUGCCCAAGUACUCCACAUUGUGGGAAUGCAAUACGCAUUGAGGAUGACGAAUUCUGCGAGGUAGAAUGUUCAUGUGGUAUGCAGUUUUGUUUCAGUUGCUUAUCAGAAGCACACUCACCAUGUUCAUGUUUGAUGUGGGAGCUUUGGGCCAAGAAGUGCCGAGAUGAAUCUGAAACAGUUAAUUGGAUAACAGCUCAUACAAAACCGUGUCCAAAGUGUCACAAACCUGUGGAGAAGAACGGUGGUUGCAACCUUGUGAGCUGUAUCUGUGGGCAAGCAUUUUGUUGGCUGUGUGGUGGGGCCACUGGCCGAGACCAUACUUGGUCAAGCAUAUCUGGUCACAGUUGUGGUCGCUACAAAGCGGAACGAGAGAAAAAAUCUGAACGUGCAAAGCGGGAUCACUAUCGGUAUAUGCACUAUUAUAAUCGUUAUAGAGCUCACACAGAUUCUUUCAAGCAGGAAAGCAAAUUGAAAGAGAUCAUACAAGAAAGGGUGUCAAUUACAGAAGAGAGGGAUUCGAGGCUCAGAGAUUUCAGCUGGGUAAAUAACGGGCUCCUCAGACUUUUCAGAUCCAGGCGAGUUCUUUCAUAUUCAUACCCAUUUGCAUUUUAUAUGUUUGGAGAUGAGCUGUUUAAUGAUGAGAUGACGAAGGAAGAAAGGGAAAUAAAACAGCACUUAUUUGAGGACCAGCAGCAGCAGCUUGAGGGAAAUGUUGAGAAACUUUCAAAGUUUCUGGAGGAGCCCUUUGAUCAAUAUAGUGAGGAUAAAGUGAUGGAGAUAAGGAUGCAAGUUAUCAAUCUGUCAGUGAUCACAGAUACUCUCUGUCAGAAAGUGUAUGAAUGCAUUGAAAAUGAUUUAUUGGGUUCUCUCCAAUAUGGUAAUCACAAUAUUGCUCCUUACAAGUCAAAAGGCAUAGAGAAGGCAUCAGAACUUACUGCUUGCUGGAAAGCCAAUAAUAGUGACAAAUAUCCACCUUCAGAUUGUGGCGCAAGUGAAUUGGAUCGACCUUCAGGCUCUGGGAGUUCAGAUGAGAGUGGAUGUUCUUCCAGGAAGCGUGCUAGAAAGGAUUCUCCUGGAGGUGGCCUUUUUGAUCUUAACUUGCCAGCAGAGGUCAUUGACAGAAACUGAAUUUGAAAGUUGCACCCUUCAUAUAAAUACAAUAGGUGUACAGCUCUGACAUAAGACCCAUGUUUUCUUUUACGGAUUGAUCAAUCUGGACCGUAGCACCCAAGAACUCAACCUUUUCCCUUUUUUUUUCUUCCUUUUCUUUUUCUCCCCUCCAUUCUUCUCUCUUUUUUAGCCUGGGUUUUAUGAAUCUAUUUUGUUAUGAUAUUCUCGAAGAGAAAUUUAGAGAUUUAGUGCAUCUUUCCUUUACUCUUCGAAAAUACAACAUUGUAUAUAGCCUUCGAUUGGGCAAUAGAUAUGUAAAUUUUCUCCUGAGACUUGAGGAACCCUCUUAGAAACCUUCUGAGAUAUUUUCAUAUUUUUCGAUGCUGGAAGUAAAGGUAUAGUGAUAGGAGUUUUAGCCAACUGAGGCAGAUGAGGUUAUGUGUAUUCUCAGAGUUUAAUCCUCUGUUUCUCGUCUGUUCAACACCUGAUAUGUAAUUGAAAUCUCUUUGAGUUUGAAAACAAUGAUUUCUCAGCAAUAUUGUUCAUUUCCAUUCAGGAGCAUGCAUAUAUAAAUCUAAGUAAUUCAAUUAUAAAAAAA
Quercus lobata is the source of this 2667-nucleotide RNA transcript. It is a transcript of the gene named probable E3 ubiquitin-protein ligase ARI2, with no coding region annotated. The transcript is spliced from 8 exons. NCBI's taxonomy places the organism in Eukaryota, Viridiplantae, Streptophyta, Magnoliopsida, Fagales, Fagaceae. The record is from RefSeq and is a predicted model, not a curated record.